UGUAACUGAGUAGUAUUCCUUGUCUGCAGAUAUUAAUGUCUUUACCCAUUCUCCCGUCAAUAGGACCAAGGCUAUUUCCAGCUUUUUGGCAUUAUGAAUGAAGCUACCAUGUCCAUUCUUGGACAUGUCUCUUUGUUCGGUUGUGUGCCAGAUGACAUGAGUAAAAGGUCUAUCAGGUCUGAAGAAGAUGCGAUUUCACCAUGGAGGUGGUCCACCUGCUCUUCCAUCUGAGGCAGCCAGAAAGUGUUGCUUCCCAUGGCUGCUAGCAGGACUGACGUGACCCUCCUGCCCCCUGAAGCCAGGUCAUCUCUGGGCCCAUCUCCUGUCUCCUGCUCUACAUCUUCACCUCCGUGAUCAAGGCUUGUCUGAUCCUCAUGGCACAAUGCCCCACGGGCCACCGCAGGCACCUGGAGCAGCAGCAGGAACCAGGGUACAGCCUCCCCCUCUCAGGGGUCUGCAGCAGCCCUCAGGCCCAAGCUGGGCCUCAAGCAACAUGAGCGCCCAGGGGUACACUCUCCCUGGGCCUUCAGCCUGGGGGUAACUCAGGCUCUCAACCUGAGGGGCAAAGUGCUCCCCAGUGGGAUACGACUCCAUGUGAGAUGGGCAGAACACACCCUGGUGGAGACUCCGGCCUGGGCAGGGAUGGGGGGCAGGCAGUGCAGGCUGGCUCGGCCUCCUUCAGCCAGCGCCUUGGGCCAGGCUGCUGCAGUGCCCUCUGACCUCGGUGAGUGGAGGGGUGCUACGGGGUCUGACCCCAGCAGUGUGGUGUGGGCCUGCCACCCACUGGGUUCAACACUGGGAUAGUUCUCUGGACCCCAGUGAGGACUGGGGCUCUUCCCUCAGGAAACUGAACAGCCUCUCUGGGAACUGGGUGCAUUGCUCCCCAAAGGUGAGCUGUACAAGGUGACCAGGGCACUGACGAGGACACUUGGAAGGAACAACAUUUAUCGCAGUCAUCGUGAGAAAGCAGCCUAUUCUGGUUGUGCUGGAUGUGACCAGACAGUGGACACACAUGCCCAUCCCAUUUCCACGAUCUGUGGUCUCCAGGCUGUCACUGGAGAAGAAAUGGGCAAGGAAGCCCCUCCACGCAUGGGCUCCGAGGAUCUGUAGCCCCGAGUGUCCCCCAUGUUCACACCGGCCAAGAGCCCUUUCUGGGCUAGACGCAGCGGGUAGCUGGGCAGGGCAGUGUCACUCUGGCAUGGACCGCGGGGCUCGCUUGCUGCCCGGCACUCUGCAGUCACAGGGCCUGUGGCUUAGAGACUGUGCACAGGCGGCCAGAGCAUGGAGGGGAGGCAGAGAAGAGCUCCCAGGGAACAUGGCUGUUCUGCUUUUACCUGAGGUAGUGGGUACGCGGGCAUUUGCUUGACCCACAAAUUCCACAAGGAUUGUCAUGUUGAAGACAUGUACCAGUGGAAACACAGGGAGCCGGUGAGAGUCCCUCUGCCUGUUGGCUGAAGCUCAGGCGUGGCACUCAGGGUGGCCAGCUGUGGACCCCAGCACUGUCCGCAUGUGCAGCCCGACACGGCUCACAUUGGGAGGAUGGUCGACAAGAACGAUUUCUUUAUUGUAGAUCUUUCUGGUGUUGCCCCAGGAAGUGGCAGCUUCCAUCUAGGAGGAGCAGAGGCUGAGCCGGUGGUCUUCCUGCCCUCUGUCCUUGCGCCAGAGGCUGUCCCCCCACCCUGAGCCCUGUCCAGGGCACUGCAUCUCAGACAGGCAGUGGCCAGGGGGCCUGAGAGUGAAGGGACAGCAGGGCAAUCCCACACCAGGCUCAGAACUGCCUCUACCAAAAGCCAGACCUGCUGGUCACCCGCUCUUCCACAGUGAGUGCUGGUGGUGCCCACAGACCAGGAGGGCGAGUCACUCUCAUAGGUGCAAACACUGCUCAUCACUUAUGAGAUGCUCACACACCACGGUGGUCUCCCAGACAUGUGACAGAAACAGCACCACUGUCCUCAGAGUCAUAUCUGGGGCCCACCAGGGGGAGCUUCCUGGUCCUGGGGGGCUGUGGAAGUCACUGUCUUGGGGAGGUGGACCCUGGGGGUGGGACGGUGGGUGAACCCUGGCCCCCUGCACUUCCAUGGAGCGAGUGGCCUGCUGGGAGGUGAUGGGCCACCUGCUCCCAUUGCACCAACCUGGUGACUCUGCAUACGUGCACAACAGCCACACUGCCUGGCUGCGUCAUGACCAGGUAAGCCGGGAACAGAUUCUUCGUCGGGAUCUCCAGGGAGAUGAAAGAGCCCCAGAGAUGGCCACGAAAGCCAGCGCCCAGGCCCAGCCCUGUGGCAGGAGCACAGGUGGGGUCGUAUCUUGUUGCAUCUGUGCACCUGUAGCUACUCUUCUCGACCUGCUCUAGUUACUACUAGACCUACUAGACAGUAUUGCAAAAACAAUUUUAACAGUAAAUACAAUAAUGGCUUAGGUACAAAGAACCUGAAAAAUGAAUGUUUCUGCAUAAUGAAUAUCCCAUACAACUAAAAAUUAACUUCUCCCUUCCUUUGGGUGGAUAUUUUAUAAUGUGUUUCUACAACGGACAGGCCUACUAGACAAAUAGAUUCUGAGAUGCUGUGGGGACACACUGCAGGCUUACAUGCUGAGGUGUCCACAGGGAGGUGAUGUGCUUCUGUAGCCACGGGGGCGACACUGGUAUUGACCCUGUGACAGUGGGACUUCAUUCUCCUAUAAAAGCUGCUGGCUGAAACUUUUCUGUGUUCCCUUGUCUGAAGAAGGAACAACAAGAAGGAGGGACCUUCGGUCUCAAGGGCAGGCUGCCAUGGCUGCCCACGAAGACAAGUGAGAGGAGCUCUGUUUCCCACAGUGUGAAGAUGAGGCUGGCAGAUGUGUGUCCUGCUUGCAACAAUUAACCCAUGACAACCAGCUCACUUCUGGCAAGAAAACAAGGAAAAUCCUCUGAAGCCAGUUGUGGGAUGGAUUGGUCCCCUGAGAUGUACGCUAGCCCAAUUGAGCACCUGCCCUGAAGAUUCUGUGUGUCUUGGGUGGUCUUGAACUUCCAUUUUAAUGGGAGGUACAGUGAGGGGUCAGGGGUUAGAACCUAGAAGGGUUACAUCCCAGCAAGAAGGCAAACUAGAUGAAAAAGUUGCCCCACAAGGCAAUUUGCAGGACUUGACCUUGAUAUUAGGAGGACAACACCUCUGGAAUUUGAAAGCAUAGGCUAGCACUCAUGUGAAUUUGUAGCUUAAAUUUUUAUACUUGUGCUACAAAUGACAGGCCAGGAGCCUGAAGUGGUCACAGGCUGUCAGCACCCCAUGGCCUGUGCUCUCUGGAGGAAUGCAUCUUCAGUUCCAGUCUCAAAGAAUUUCCACAGACAGAGUUCUAUCCCUCAUGAGAUCAUAACAAAAAGUCAGGAAACACAAAAUAAAAUAAAGCCUAUCAUUGAGAGACAGCAGAAGUAGGAAAAACAGAUGGCCCAGGUAUUGGUAUUAUCAGACAGGAUAUGAAAGCUUAAUGUGUUUAAGUAAAAAAAAAAAGAGUAUUAAAUAUGAAGAGCAACAAGCAGCUAUCAAAGUGGCUUUUAUAACAGUCAAAUAGAUAUGACCAAUUGUGGCCAAAACAGAGGAACAAGAACUAGAUUUACCCUCUGGACUGAAACUGCCAGCAAUUGUGAAACAGUAAAUCCACUAGACGUCAGGCAGCGGAGGGCAGGGGCCCACGAGAGACGAGAAGCUGGUGGGUGGAGCCCUGAGCUGCUUGCAGCUCCCUGCCCAGGGGCCGGGGCGCAUCCACGCUGCGGUGCAGGGAGGGGUCAUCACAGCCAGGUGGGUGAGCAGGCGGGAGACUGUCUCCAUGGAGAUGAGCGCCCCAAAGCUCACAGCAGAGAGGGCUGGAGGGGAUGUGGACAAAAGUCCUGAGACAUGCAGGAGUUCCCCACUGGGUGUCCAGCCAGGUCCUGGUCAGGGCACUGAAGUGGGCAUGAAUCCCUGGUAGGCUUUCUGACACCCACGGGGCGGGAAGGCUGCCUGCUCCCACCAGGCAAGGCUGGGACCCCAGGAUUCCAGGCGCAUGGGCAGAGCCCAUGAGGCGCUGUUGCCUAAGCUGUGUGACAUGACUGCCUGUGACUGAGCAUGGCUCAGGUUCCACCUGGCACAUCCCAAACGCAAGACCCAAAGGAUCAAUGUGUUUCAAAAAACCUCAGCUUUGUUCUUGAACAGAGCUCAGGAAUAUUUACAGAAAUUCAAAAAUAUCACCCAACAAAAUACAACUUCUCAAUAUCUGUCAGCCUGUUAUGGAUUGAAUUGUGUGCCCCUCAUGUCAAUAUGUCAAAGUCUGAUGGUUUCUCUUCUUUGUUAAUAUGCUAAGUUACUUUGAUGGAUUUCAGUGCUGAACCAGCCUUACAAUACUGACAUGAACUUAGUCAUGGGUUACAUUUUUUUUUACACAUUAUUGGGUUUAAUGUGCUACAGUUUUGUUUAGAAUUUUUAUGUUCAUAUUAAUCAGAUAUUUUUCUCCUGUAGUUUUCUUUUUUUUUUAUAAGACUUUAUAUAGUUUUGGUAUCAGGGAAAUGCUGACCUUAUGAGAAGAUCUAGGAAAAAAUUCCCUGCUCUUCAGGUUUCUGGAAGAAUUUGUGUAGAAAAUGCAAUUUCUUCCUCAGUGAUAUGGUAGAAUUCACUAAAGAAGCAACUGUGGAGGACAGUGUGGAACUUUAUACAGAAGUUAAACAUACACCUACCAAAUGGUCCAACCAUUUUACUCCUGCAUGUUUAUCCAAACGAAAAGAGCAUAGGUCCUCACAAACGUGUAUAUAAAUAAAUGUGCAGCGCAACUGUAUUUGUAGAAGCCCAUUAGAAACAAACCAAAUAUCCACUAAUAAGUGAAUGCACAAGCUAACUGAAGAUAUGCUCAUUAUCUUGACUGUGAUGUUCCCUGAUUGUAUAUACCUGUUAAAAUGUGUCAAGUUGUACAUUUAAACACGUAUAGUUUAUUGUAUGUUGGUUAUACUUCAA
Long non-coding RNA from Manis javanica (Malayan pangolin), 4958 nucleotides. RefSeq lists it as uncharacterized. Lineage: Eukaryota; Metazoa; Chordata; Mammalia; Pholidota; Manidae. The record is from RefSeq and is a predicted model, not a curated record.